CCGUUCUCUUUGUGUGCGUGCAGCUGGCGUCUAGGCUGCAUUUCGAAUGGUCUCGUAUCGGAAGGCGAAGGUGUCCAUGGGCAGCACAGCAACAAAGGAGCCAGGAUGGUGUUAGUGCACGUCGGAUAUCUGGUUCUUCCCGUCUUCGGUUCGGUCAGAAGUAGAGGAGCACAUUUUAGCAGGCACCAGCAUAGUCAUGCUACCUCCUGCCGGCAUUUUCACCUGGCUGCUACGGCAACGUCGCUGCCUGCUGAGUUCCCGCCCCCUCCCCUCGCCCCGCCUCAGUACCAGGAAAUCCCGCCCCCUUUCUUACCUCAGGCCUUACAGCAGCAAUACCUCAUCCAGCAACAGCUACUGCAGCGCAGACGCACACAGGAGCGAGUCCCACUGAACACGAAUCGGUUACGUCCAGGAUAUGAAUAUGCUCCGCCCCUCCAUGUCCCUCAGCCAAUCCCACAGCAGCCCAGAUACCUGGCAGAAGGCACUGAUUGGGACCUAAGCGUGGACGCAGGAGUGCCAUAUCAGUAUCCUCUGCAGCAGAUCCCUCAACCCUACCAGCAUUACCUGGCCUCUCCCAGAAUGCACCACCUCCCCAGGAACACCUCCUCCACCCAAGUGGUUGUCCAUGAGAUAAGGAAUUAUCCAUAUCCACAGCUUCACCUGCUGGCGCUGCAGAGCUUGAGUCCCAGCAGACACUCGUCUGCUGUUCGAGAGAGUUAUGAGGAGCUGCUACAGCUGGAGGAUCGACUGGGAAGCGUCAGCCGAGGGGCCAUACAGACCACCAUAGAGAGAUUCACCUUCCCCCACAAAUACAAGAAGCGGAAGCUGCUGGAUCUGAAGUUAUGUGAGGAAGAGUCGGAUAUGGAUGAGAAAUGCACCAUUUGCCUCUCCAUGCUGGAGGAUGGAGAAGAUGUCAGGCGUUUACCCUGUAUGCAUUUGUUCCAUCAGGCGUGUGUGGAUCAGUGGCUGGCCACCAGUAGGAAGUGUCCCAUCUGCAGAGUGGACAUCCAAACACAGCUCACCCCCGAGAGCUGAAACACACCCGGCGAAAUAACACGCAUUAACAAAUAACUCACACACAUGCUCUAUUUCAUUCUUAUACAUCCACAGACAUUUUCAUUGACACACACACACACACACUGUAUAUUACCUACACACGUGUAUGAUGAGCCAUCCAACACACACUAAACACACACUCACACGCUUUACUGAGCCAAUGACAAUAACUGACACUACACACACACACACACACACACACGUGCUGGUAGAAACUAAAAGGGUCUGUCGCGAGGAGUGAUUCUGUCUUUAGGGAAAUGGUGUGUGUCUGUAGCAUAUGUGUGUGUAUUUGUGCAAUUUCUUAAGCCAUGAACUUUACUAAAGACCCUCAGCUUGCAUACAAUAUACACACACACACACUUACACACUAAAUAUAAUAUAUACACAAUGGCGGAUAAGACAGUCAAAUCUAGCUGCUGGAGUGUGUGUGUGUGUGUGUGUGUGUCCACUGUAUUUCUGAUCUGCAAUACUGCUUUUGUCUUACACACUGGAGCUACUUUGGCUUGCGUGUGUGCAUUUGUGCGCUUGUUCACCAUUUUGGUGCGUGUAUGCGUGUUAAUAUUUUCAUGGGUUAGCGGUGCACGACGGUGCAUGUAGAGAAGCCAAAAAAGAACACGCAACAACAAGAAAAAAAAAAAACGAAAACACAAAAGCAACUAAUUUCCGAGACAGCAGGAGGGCUGUUGUCUUACAAAAAAAAAAGUAGGCGGAGAAUAUAGUGAUUGGUUGAUUCGUGUAGAUAGGCGCAGUAGUAGUUGCAUGCAUCUGUGCUUGGGUUGUUGUUUCAAGGUAUACCUGAAAGUGGUUGUGUGCGCGAAUGCAUGGAUGUGUAUUAGCUCCUUUAAGCUGUGACGAUCCGUAACAUUAUCAGACUCAUGUAGCGUGUGUGUGUGUGCGCGCGCGCGCGUGAGUGAGACCCUGCCAUGACCUUUGACCCUAAAUGCCUACUGAAAAAAGCACAUGUGAGCAUAGCUAAAGUGCCCGGCCUCACUCUGGUGCUGCGCUGCCAUGGUUACUGUAUUUAUUAUUGGUAUUUAAAACAUGCAGUGUUUGGAGGGGGCGGGGCUUGUGUGUGUCCAACGGUGUUCUUGUGACAGGUCUCCCCUCGUGGUUGCUAUGCUGGUUGAGACGGAUGAGCGCGACGCCGGAAUUAUUCGUAUUUGGCCCGAAACAUACGCAGGUAGUUUUCGGAUUCAGCUCAAAUUUCAUAAAGUUGACAUGUUUACAGCUAGCUACACAAACAAUAGCACAUCCAGUUUAAUGGUGCAGAAGUUUGAACACUGGCGCCCUCUUGAGCACUGAAGUUUGCAAAAAUGCACAUUAUGCAAUGCGUAUGUUUCUGGCCUUAGUUGUUUAUAGGAUUAAUCACUUUAGUUGUUUUUAAGUUUAAUUUUAACAACUUGCAAAAAGUAUGUUCUUUUUAUGUGGAUAGUUUUUUCCCAAAAUGUCUGUUUCAAUUUUGCUUUAUGUACAUUUGGCAAUUUUUCUCAUGGUCUGUUUCAGGGUGUGUUUAAAAUCUAGCAAUCUACCCUAUAUAAGCAGUAA
Molecule: RNA transcript, 2601 nt
Organism: Sinocyclocheilus grahami
Lineage: Eukaryota; Metazoa; Chordata; Actinopteri; Cypriniformes; Cyprinidae
Gene name: RING finger protein 165-like
Exons: 9
Source: RefSeq, a predicted model, not a curated record